AGUGAACGCUGGCGGCAGGCCUAACACAUGCAAGUCGAGCGGCAGCGCGGGGCAACCUGGCGGCGAGCGGCGGACGGGUGAGGAAUGCGUCGGAAUCUGCCUUUUUGUGGGGGAUAACGUAGGGAAACUUACGCUAAUACCGCAUACGACCUACGGGUGAAAGUGGGGGACCGCAAGGCCUCACGCAGAAAGAUGAGCCGACGCCCGAUUAGCUAGUUGGUGAGGUAAAGGCUCACCAAGGCGACGAUCGGUAGCUGGUCUGAGAGGACGAUCAGCCACACUGGUACUGAGACACGGACCAGACUCCUACGGGAGGCAGCAGUGAGGAAUAUUGGACAAUGGGCGCAAGCCUGAUCCAGCCAUGCCGCGUGCAGGAUGACGGUCCUAUGGAUUGUAAACUGCUUUGUACAGGAAGAAACACUCCCUCGUGAGGGAGCUUGACGGUACUGUAAGAAUAAGGAUCGGCUAACUCCGUGCCAGCAGCC
Molecule: ribosomal RNA, 485 nt
Filed under: uncultured bacterium
Lineage: Bacteria
Description: bacterial SSU rRNA
Rfam family: Bacterial small subunit ribosomal RNA
Source: RNAcentral